AAACAAAAAAGAGAUCGACUUUGAAAAAAAAAAAAAAUUUAGAUAAGUAAUAAAAAUUUUAUUUAAUUUUUUUUUCUAAAGAUUAAAGAUUAAAGCCUAUACGACAUACACUGUAAUAAUAAAUUAAUAAUUAAAUUUUAAACUCUUAUAAUAGUAUAAUAAAUUCUAAAUACAAACGCUUGAACUCAUAUACACCUUCAUACAUAUCUGUAAUACAUAAAUAUCUAUAAUCAUACCUGUAAUCAUACAAAACAAAAUAAACAAAAUGGAAGUUGCAAUCGGAUCAAAUAAUAGUGGUACACCAUUUCAACGUGAAAUACGUGAAUGGCAAAGAAUUGAUCCAAAUACUGGUGCAUUAUUAACUGGACGUUUAGAAGCAGAUCGUUGGAUAAGUGGACCAUUAAAUGCAUAUGGAAAGGUCGUUGAUUCACAAAAUGUAUCACAACCGAAUGGUACACAACAUACGCAACGUAAACAAUUAGAAGUAUUACAAGCACAUACAUCAUCUGGUUCAAUGCAAGUAAUACGUGCACAAACAGUUCAAACAACAUCAUCACGAUGGUCAUCAUCAACAUCAUCAUCAUCAAAAUCAACAUCAGGAUAUAGCAAUAAUAAUAGUAAUAAUAAUAUAUUAUCGUCAUCAUCAACAGCAGCAUCAACAAAAUUAAAAUCAAUAACAUCAUCAUCAUCGGCACAUGCCACUAAUAAAUCAAAUGAAAAUGAAUUUAAUAAUAAUAAAAAUAAUUAUAAUAAUAAUGAAAGCAAUAAAAAUAAUAAUAAUAGUAAUAUAAUAUCAAAAAAACAAUUUAAAUCACCGAUAACAAAUGGUUUUUCAGCUACAAGAAAUGAUUCUAAUUCAAUUAUAAAGAAUAAUACAACAAUAAAAUCAUCAUCAUCUAUAAUAAAUAACGGUUAUAAUAAUAAUAAUGGUAAUAUAAAUGGAGAUUAUAAUCAAAUCCAUCAUAAUAGUCAUCAAGAGAAUAAUUUAUAUAAGAAACAACAACAAAAUCAUGAACAUGAAUACAAUAUUCAUCAAUAUCAGCAACAGAAAUCAUCAAAUCUACAAUCAUAUAAUUUACAAAUGAUGUCUACUACUUCUACUACAGCUACUUCUGAUGCUAUACAAUUAAAUGAAACCACAAAAAUAACAGCAACAAAUAAUAUCAAUGGACAUGACCAUCACCUUAACAGCCAUAACAAUAAUAAAAAUAAUCAUAAAAAUAAUAAUUGUAAUGAUCUUAAUAAUUGUGGUAACAGUAGCAACAUAAAUGAUCAACAUUCAACAAUAUCAACGGUAAUAGCAUCAGCCACCGUAUUUACUAACAUAGAACCAAGCCUUAAGCUUAGUAAUUUAAUGAAGAGCAGUCAAAGCAAUAACAAUGAUAGAAGCAGCCCACAUUCUUUUACUCAAAUAAACAAAAAUAGUAUAAACAACUUUAGUGUUACUUCAGCGGCAACAGCAGCAAUAGCAGCAACAACUACAAUAAAAACACAAAAAGAUCAAAAUAAAUCUAUAUCUAUAGUACAGAAGGUACAACAACAACAUCAACAGCAACAACAACAAAAACAAAAUUAUGAACAACAAAAUCAAUUUGAAAAUGGAAUAACUAGUUCACCAUCAACAUCGACAAUAUCAUCGUCGUCGUCGUCGUCGCCGCCGUCAUCAUCGUCGUUAUUAUUUUCGUCUUCAACAUCAUCGGCGAUAACAUCAGCAACAAUAGCUUCAGCUCAUUCGUUUUGUAACAAUAGCAGUAAUAAUAGAACAAUUCAACAAAAUAGUCAUCAUUUUAAGCAGCAACAAAAAGAUAUACAACAAAAACAACAACAACAAUCGCCACAUAUUAUAAAUCAGCCUACAUUAAUAAAUUCAAAUUCAAAUUGUGUAGGUGUUAAAGGAAUUACUGAAGUUGGAGGCUUUAAGCAUAACAAUAACUCGUCAUCAUUGAUUACAAAUGGUGGCGGUGAUGUUGAAGAUAUGACAAUGGAUCAACGUGGAAAAUAUUCAGAUUUUAAUUUUGAACGGAGCCGUUCAGCUUCAACUGAUGACUUAUCAAUUGAUUGGGAUGAACAUAAUCAAGCAGAAACAGAUGAAACCUGUGAAUGGCGUCGUGUUAGCAAAAUACGCCGUUCAUUCCAAUUCCCUAAAACAAAUAGUCCACCAAAAUCUAGUCCAUUUACCAGGCCAACUGAUUUACCCGAAAAUUGUGUCAGCGUUUCAAGAAUACGUGAAGAAUUAGAAAAAGGCAGAAGACUUAAUGUUGCAAUGAGCCAUAAUAUUGUUGAUUUACAAGCAAUGGAAAAUAUUCUAAAUGGUAGUAAUAUCAAUGAUUAUGACCAAGACUCUUCGAAAUCUUUAAAAAAAUCUCCAUCAUUUUUAACAGCCGAAUCAUUAAAAGAAAUACGUGGAAAAUUGAAAAAGCUUAGUGAUGAGUCAUUAUACAAAGAUGAUUUUGUUACAAGUCAAUCAAUAAAUAAUGAUUCUAAUAGAAUUUCUUCUUUACAAAACCAUGAUUCAAUAUUGAAUGGGAUGAAAAUGUCAAAAGAUUCCCCACUUAGUAGUCAAAUGAUUUUGCAACAAAGUGCUUUUCAAUACUACCCGAAAAAUUCACAGCAAAUAAAUCAUACAACAAACAGUUUGGAAAACCGUGCAACUCGUUUAAAAGAUACAUCUUCUGCCGAUUGGCAUAUUCGCAGAAAAUCUUAUGGUUUUGAAAAAAUGUCACCACCCGAUAAUAAAAUGUUUCGUAUGGAAAACUCAACUGACAGUGGCCUUGGUCGAUCUAGCGAUUUAGGUAAUUUAUCACCAACUGAACAUCGUGGCACUGUUAUAACAUUUAACGAUUCGACUGGUGGUGGUGGUGUUUUAAACGGGACAAAUAAAAAUGCUACGACGGUUAUAUUAAACGGUGAUAAAGAAACAAUAAACUCAAAGCCGUUAGUUCAAAGAAGAUAUCGUGAUCCAAACAAAAUUAAUUCUUCAAGUGACGAAGCUUCUGAAGUUAAACGACAUUCUAUUGCUGUAGACGAAACUAAAUAUGUUCGAGAAAAUUUACGUAAAGUCUUUGAUAGCUCAAAUUCUACUGGUACCACUGUAUCACAUUUAAAUCGUUUAUAUUUAAAAGAAGAUAAUGGAAGUACAUCAAUAUCAUUAGAUGAAUCACAGCGUAAUCAAAGAAAACGUGUAGAGUUCUGUAAAACUGAAGUACAUUUUGCAGCUGAGUCGGGGCGUGUUAAUAUUGUUGAAACGGACGGUAAACCUCCACCAUCUAAUAAUUUUCGAAGACGUCGCAGAAGUUCUGGAAAUGCGUAUAUUGAUGCUAUAACAUCAGGUUUACAAGUAACACAUUUUGGUGAUGAAAGCCGUUCUAAAUCUGAUACGCAAGAGCAAGCUGAACAAAAUAAAAAUGAAAAUUCAAGUUUAUUCGGAGAAAAAAGUAGUGUCACUGUUUCUAUUCCAUCGGUAUUUAAUGAACAAGAUAUAUCAUCUUCAACAACUGCAAAUAAUUAUAUGGGAAAAACUAGUCCAGAUGACGAAGAUCAGGAUGAAAUUUCUUUAAGAGGCAUUUUAAAAAAUAAACCUGUAAAGCCAAAACCAUAUCAUUUAGGUGAAAAUAGUAUUGGCAAUGACAAUUUGUGGGGUGUGAAAUUGAAAUCAGUCACUGGAAAUGAUUUAACAGAAACUGCAAAAUCAAAAUCUUUGAUACGUAAUUUAGAAGAGCAUGACUAUGAGAAAGAAAAAUUGUCAAACUCCAAAUCUGUGGCUGAACACGUUAGGAUUGUUGAAGAACGAAAAGAUGUAAAUGGAAGUUAUUCAACAAAAAUUAAUUUAAAUCUAACAGAUAAACCAUUCACGUGGAACUCAGAAACAUCACCAUCAUCCCCAUCAAUUGAUAUUCAUAAAACUGAGCAAAACGAUACACAUGAGUCUGGAAUACAAAAUCUGAUUCCCAUUAAUGCACGUUUUCGUAUAAUUGAUACUACAGCACAUAACAAUAACACAAUUACAUCUUCACCCACAUCAACAGCAAUGACUAAAACCAUACAAGAUCUAAAAUCGACUUCAUUAAUAAUGCGUACCAUUAGACCAAUACCACAAUACGAACGUCAAAAUAGUGAACCGACUAAGAUAAUUCAUUUGAAUGCAUCUUUUCAACCACAACAACAACAGCAACAACAAUCAUCUCAUUUAACAAAUCUAACUGCCAAUGUUGUUGCAUCUGGUUAUACUACUGCUACUAAAUUGAUCUCAAAUAUGACUGCGAUAACAAAAUCAAAUAGUGCUAAUAAUAUUUUAUCGAAUUCAUCAACUUCUUCAUUUGCUCUUACUGAUACUGCAUCAUCAUAUUUUCGGAAAAAAUAUUCAUCCUCAUUAGACGGUGAAACUGUACUAAAUGAAGAUCAUAUUUAUCGCGGUGGGAAAGUUUUAAAAUCAUCUAGCUUUGAAUCAGCGAUGGUUAAUAAAAAUUCACCUUUGACAACAAUUAAUUUAAUUGAAAAUGCUUCUAAAAGAUUUUCUACAAUUGAUAAUCGUUUAACAGUUGAUUCAACUGAAGAUGAAAUCAAAAAACCAGUAGCAAUACCAAGAAAGAGUUCUACAAGACCACGUUCCAUGGGAAGCUUCCCAUCAAAUCAUAAUUCUCAUUUAGGAAGAAUAUCCGAAAUGAUCCAUAAUAGUGAUUUGGAGAGUGACGAUAGCGUUCAAGCAGCUGAUGAAGAAGUUAAACGUUAUUUAAGUAAUGAACUUUUAGAUCAAUUAGAUGAAAAUGAAAAUUCAAAUGAAGUUGUUGCUAAUAGUUGGAAUCGUUUGAAAGCUGAAAAAUCGACAAUUAAAUCUGAAAAAAUUGACUUCAAAGAUAUUCCCAAGUCUAACGUUAUGUCAAUUAAGCUACAAUCACCACAACCUCAUAAGAAAGAAUUUACAAAUGUGCAUGAAUCUUCGAAAAAUAUGCAAACACCAAUGCCAGUAGCUAAACCACGCACUUCAAUUCAAACUCUUAAAAAUCUAUCUAGUACGAAUGAUUGCAAAAUCAAUAAAAAUCCUAUUAAGGUUUCACCUCUUCCGAGCCAAUCGCAAUUAUCACCGAAUAAAUUACCAUUGGAAACAUUAAAAGUUGAACCAAAUGGUACAAGAAAACUUCGCGAACAUGAACUUUUAUAUUUUGGUGUUAAAAUUAAUAAUGAAGAUGAGUUAAAUCAACAUCAUAUCAACAAUUUUAAUAAUUCAAAAUCACGAAAUCAACCCAUACAAUCUUCAAUUAACGAAACUAAUCGAAAACUUCAAAAUAAUCCGAAAAUCAUCGAAGAGACAACAGGAAAUCCAUCGAAAUGGAAAUUAGCAUGUGAUAAGCCAGAUUUGCUAAGGCAUAGCCCAAUGGAAAAAACUCAAAAUAACGUUCCAAUGAUCUUAAAUCCUAGGGAUCAAAAAUUAAACCAGAUCACAAAAACAAAUGGAAUUUUGAUGCAAGAUGAAGAUACAGAAGAAGAUGAAGAUGAAGACGAAGACGCUUACGUUGGUCCAAUAUAUGAAAAUUUAAAGCUUCCUUACCCUUAUAAUCGGAAAGAUGAUUUGAUAAGAGAUGCAAUGAUUUUAAGUGAGAUGAAUAAAGCUGCCGAUCAGACAAUGAAGACUGUAAUCGAUGCUCAUAAAAUUCAAAAACGGCGAGAAAGACGUCGAUCUGAACAACUUCAUCAAUCACAACCACUUGACACAAUUGAAGAAAAAAUGUCACCAUCUUCUAGAUUAAGUCAUAAUCAACACGAAUCGGAAAAAUCUUAUUUGCAACAAACAGAGAAUUCCCAACGUCGCUCAUCAUUGAGCCGUCGAUCAUCCUCAGCUUCAUCUACAGGAAGCUUCUCUGAUUCUGGUUCGAUAUGUGGUCGAUCAUCAAGAUCUAGAUCAAAGGAAAAACUUCUGGAUUCAACUGAUAGUCCAAAUAAACUUAAAUCAAUAUUGGUCAACAAAGUUAGACCGAGAACUUCUAGACCUUCAAAAGAGUGUACAUCAAUAAAAUCUCCAAUUGCUGUAAGUGUUCGUCGAAUCAUCGAACAUCGAUCUAGCAGUCAGGAGAGUCAACGUUCACAUAAGAAUUCCAACGAAAAUUUACAAAUAGUACCACCACAAAAAUUAGAGCGUCGUCAUAAACGUCAAACAUCUACACCUACAAAAGCAACUACAACAUCAUCUUCGGAGAAAUAUCAUAAAAAUUCAAGUGAAUUAUCAAGAUAUAGAUCUGAUCGUUCCAGCACAGAGAGUAAUGAGAGGCGUAGAACUAGCAAAUCUUCCCGAAAUCAAACAGGAAUUUCAUCACCUGAUGGCCAUAACAGAAAAACACAUAGUAAUGGUCGCACAACAACAAAUUCUGAUCCAGCGAAAAGGAUAAAUUCUAGAUCCAAUAAAGAAGCAUCAAAUAGUGAAAACCAUAAAACGAUUAGGAGUUCUGCAAGAAUAACUAAAGAACUACGUGAUAGCGAAGGAAGAUCUGCAAGUGAACAUCGUCGAAAUAGAAGUUCCCACGAUCGAAAAGAGACUUCUGAACGCCACGUUAGUUCAAGAGGUCUCAAGACAGAUAAAGAAGAUUAUCUUCGUAGCAGUACAAGAUCAGACCGCGCUACCCGUGCUACAUCUUUAGAUAAUUUACGAAGCUCUAAACGAUCACAAAAAUUAGAAGAGUCAAAUAAAAUUACUCGAUCAAAAGAUAAAUUAUCUUCAAAUGGUCAUGAACAUCAUAAAUCAUCUUCUACAAAUAAAACAUCGAUUCAACAUGGUACUAAAACUGCUACAAUACCACCCAUUACAUCAACAACAGCGUCAAACGGACAUCAACAUGGAACAACGUAUGUAUCUGAAAACCCUCUUAUUACAAGAAUAAUACCACCGCCAAGAAAAAAACGUUUGAAAAAUAAUUUAAAUAGUAACAAUAAUAAUAACAGUAAUAGCAAUAAUAGUAAUAAAUCUAAAGCUCAGGCACUUUAUGAUAAUUUGAAAAAUAUAAAUAAAAAAUUAUCAAAAAAUUUAUCACCACAAUACACAAAUUCAACUACUUCAUCAUUUGUAUUUUAUCCAUCAUCUGCAACGACAUCUGCACCAUUAAAAAUAUCAAAAUCAAAAAAUGAAACACAUGACAGACCGUUGUUAAGUCCAAGUCCCGAUGAUUUUUUAAAAAUUUAUGACAACGAUGAAGAUGAUGAUAAUGAUUACGUUAAAAUUAAUAAUAGUAAUGAUAAUAUAUAUUAUGAUCUUAUCAAUAAUGACAAUAACGAUAAUGAUAAAUGUGAUAAAUUUCAAAAAGAAUUAUUCAACAAUUUGGAACAAAUGAAAAUGAAUCAAAAUUUAUCAUUAAAUACAAAAGACUCUGACAUAAUCGAUUAUUAUUUUAAAACGAAAAGAGAUCGUGAUGGUAAAGCAAAAUAUGUCAUGGUACAAAAUAAAUCAUACCAUCAUUUACACCAUCACCAUCAUCAUCAUCAUCAAGGACAACAACAACAACAACAUCAUCAUCAACAUCAAAGACGACAAUCUCAAUGUGGUAUUUGUACAUGUUCAUAGCCAAUGUGAAUUUGAUUUUUGAAAUAAAAUAUUUAAGAAAAAGAAAAAAAGAAAGAGAGAUUAUGAAAGAAUUUUUUUUUUUUUUUUAAAUUUAUAAUUAAUUUUUUUUUUUUCAAAACCUGAAACCAAAGAGAGAAUUGAUCUGGUUGUAUAGAAACUUGUAGAAAUCGAAAAAGAAAUGUAAAUUUAAAAACAAAAUAAAAAAAAAAGUCCAAUAAAACAUUCUUCUAAAUUUAUAACAACAUCAUCAGAUUUAUCGUCAUCAACAGCAGUAACAGCAAAACAUAAAGAACAACAACGACGAAAAAAAAGUAAGGAACGUCAAAGUCGAAAUUAAAAAAAGUGUCAAAAUGUGACAAGUGUGAUAAAAAUGAUCGAAUUACAUAUAUUUAAAAAUAUUAUCGAAUCAAGUGUCAAAGAUAAUAAGAGCAUAUAAUUUUAUUUUUUUUAAUAUUUUGUAUUUAAAUUUGAAUUAAUUUUUUAUUAUUUUUUGGAUUAAAUCAAAAAAGGAAAUAUGAAAAGAAAAAAAAAUAACAUUUUUUUUUUUGUGAUUUUUAAUUUUUUAAAUAAUAUUUUUAAUUAUGAAUAAUUAAUUACUUUUAUUUAAAAUAGAAUAAACUAUUUAUACGUUAAUUUAUAAUUUUUUUUUUUUUUUAAUUUCUUGUCUACUAUAUUUUACUUAUAUAAUAAUCAUUUAUUACAUAAAUUUCUUUUAUUGUUCUUUAAUUAAUUUUUUAAAAACAUAUUUACAAUAUGAAUUUUUAAAAUAGGAAAAAAAAAAACAAAUAAAAAAAAUGCUAAAAAAAACAAAUAACAACAGGCCGUUUUCCAGUAUAUCAAAUGCUUGCAAAUGACAUUAGUCAUAAAUUCCAGCACUGCAUGACUUAGACUUACCAAUAUACGUAGCAAAUGCAACUUGUUAUUAAUAAGUGAAUGACGAAGAAAUAAUUUUGAAAUUUUAAAUUUUCCAAUUUAUUGAAAUAAUUAUUUAAAAAAAAAAAUAGAUGAUUAUCAUUUUGUAAAAUCAAGCGAAUAACGUAAUUAACAUGAUCGUCAAAUUUUUGACAUACACUGUGGAAACGGCCGCGAAGUGCCGGCUUUUUUUCUUACUUGAAUAAUUCAAUUCAAACUGGCUGCGAUUUUUAUUUAAUAAAAUUAAUUAAUUAUGUAGUUACAAAAAAAAAAAAAAAUUAAUGAGACUAAAACCAUAAUAAACCGUUUUUUUUUUUUUUUGUAUUAUUAGUAUUAACUAACGGAAGAUGUCGCUAUAUAUUUUUUAUAUUGAAUAAUGUUUUUUUUUUUAUAUAAACGCGUAUACGAUGUAAAUGUAAAAUGAAUUUGCAUGAAUGUAUGUGGAGUUUUUUUCUUUAUACAAUAUCGUAUUAUAAAAAUAAUGUAAUUUUUAAAUUUAAGUUCCUUUUAAUGUGUAUAAUUUUGAAAAUAAAUUAAAUACAUAUUUGGUUUUUACUAUGCCUCUAACUAAGCACUUUUAUUUCAACGUUA
Condylostylus longicornis is the source of this 9049-nucleotide RNA transcript. It is a transcript of the gene named probable serine/threonine-protein kinase DDB_G0282963, with no coding region annotated. Lineage: Eukaryota; Metazoa; Arthropoda; Insecta; Diptera; Dolichopodidae. The transcript has 12 exons. The record is from RefSeq and is a predicted model, not a curated record.